GGGGAAUCUUCCGCAAUGGGCGAAAGCCUGACGGAGCAACGCCGCGUGAGUGAAGAAGGUCUUCGGAUCGUAAAGCUCUGUUGUCGGGGACGAAUGUUGAGAUCUAGAAUAUAGAUUUCAAAUGACGGUACCUGACGAGGAAGCCACGGCUAACUACGUGCCAGCAGCCGCGGUAAUACGUAGGUGGCGAGCGUUGUCCGGAAUUAUUGGGCGUAAAGGGAGCGCAGGCGGGAAGGUAAGUCUAUCUUAAAAGUGCGGGGCUCAACCCCGUGAGGGGAUAGAAACUAUUUUUCUUGAGUGCAGGAGAGGAAAGCGGAAUUCCUAGUGUAGCGGUGAAAUGCGUAGAUAUUAGGAGGAACACCAGUGGCGAAGGCGGCUUUCUGGACUGUAACUGACGCUGAGGCUCGAAAGCCAGGGGAGCGAAC
This 425-nucleotide ribosomal RNA is filed under the name uncultured bacterium. Its description in RNAcentral is "bacterial SSU rRNA". It matches the Rfam family "Bacterial small subunit ribosomal RNA", at positions 356 to 773 of the family's 1533-position model. The record is from RNAcentral.